GAAAGGAUUUAUUCGGUAAAAAAUGGGCCCGCAUCUGAUUAGCUAGUUGGUGAGAUAAUAGCCCACCAAGGCAACGAUCAGUAGCCGACCUGAGAGGGUGACCGGCCACAUUGGGACUGAGACACGGCCCAAACUCCUACGGGAGGCAGCAGUGGGGAAUAUUGCACAAUGGGCGAAAGCCUGAUGCAGCAACGCCGCGUGAAGGAAGACGGUUUUCGGAUUGUAAACUUCUAUCGAUAGGGAAGAAAGGAAUGACGGUACCUAAAUAAGAAGCCCCGGCUAACUACGUGCCAGCAGCCGCGGUAAUACGUAGGGGGCAAGCGUUAUCCGGAAUUACUGGGUGUAAAGGGAGAGUAGGCGGCAAGGUAAGCGAUAUGUGAAAGCCUUAGGCUUAACCUGAGGAUAGCAUAACGAACUAUCUAGCUAGAGUACAGGAGAGGAAAGCGGAAUUCUUAGUGUAGCGGUGAAAUGCGUAGAUAUUAGGAAGAACACCAGUGGCGAAGGCGGCUUUCUGGACUGAAACUGACGCUGAGGCUCGAAAGCGUGGGGAGCGAACAGGAUUAGAUACCCUGGUAGUCCACGCUGUAAACGAUGAGUGCUAGGUGUCGGGGAGGAAUCCUCG
This 622-nucleotide ribosomal RNA is filed under the name uncultured bacterium. Its description in RNAcentral is "bacterial SSU rRNA". It matches the Rfam family "Bacterial small subunit ribosomal RNA", at positions 202 to 842 of the family's 1533-position model. The record is from RNAcentral.